AAUAUUGCGCAAUGGGGGCAACCCUGACGCAGCCAUGCCGCGUGUGUGAAGAAGGCCUUAGGGUUGUAAAGCACUUUCAAGGUGAAGAAAGGUUGUAGGUUAAUAACCUGCAGCUGUGACAUUACCUUUAGAAGAAGCACCGGCUAACUCCGUGCCAGCAGCCGCGGUAAUAAGGAGGGUGCAAGCGUUAAUCGGAAUUUUUGGGGGUAAAGCGGGGGUAGGCGGUUAUUUAAGUCGGAUGAGAAAGCCCCGGGCUCAUCAACGGAACUGCAUCAGAUACUGGGUAACUAGAGUACGAGAGAGGGAGGUAGAAUUCCACGUGUAGCGGUGAAAUGCGUAGAUAUGAGGAGGAAUACCGGCGGUGAAGGCGGCGUCUUUGCUCGAUAUAGACGACGAUGUGACAAAGCGUGGGGAGCAAACAGGAGGAGAUGCUACGGUAGUCCACCCCGCA
Molecule: ribosomal RNA, 451 nt
Filed under: uncultured marine bacterium
Lineage: Bacteria
Description: bacterial SSU rRNA
Rfam family: Bacterial small subunit ribosomal RNA
Source: RNAcentral